UAGGGAAUCUUCGGCAAUGGGGGCAACCCUGACCGAGCAACGCCGCGUGAGUGAAGAAGGUUUUCGGAUCGUAAAGCUCUGUUGUAAGAGAAGAACGUGUGUGAGAGUGGAAAGUUCACACAGUGACGGUAACUUACCAGAAAGGGACGGCUAACUACGUGCCAGCAGCCGCGGUAAUACGUAGGUCCCGAGCGUUGUCCGGAUUUAUUGGGCGUAAAGCGAGCGCAGGCGGUUUAAUAAGUCUGAAGUUAAAGGCAGUGGCUUAACCAUUGUUCGCUUUGGAAACUGUUAAACUUGAGUGCAGAAGGGGAGAGUGGAAUUCCAUGUGUAGCGGUGAAAUGCGUAGAUAUAUGGAGGAACACCGGUGGCGAAAGCGGCUCUCUGGUCUGUAACUGACGCUGAGGCUCGAAAGCGCGGGGAGCAAACAGG
This 429-nucleotide ribosomal RNA is filed under the name bacterium. RNAcentral describes it as "partial 16S ribosomal RNA". It matches the Rfam family "Bacterial small subunit ribosomal RNA", at positions 355 to 776 of the family's 1533-position model. The record is from RNAcentral.